This 468-nucleotide ribosomal RNA is filed under the name uncultured bacterium. RNAcentral describes it as "partial 16S ribosomal RNA". It matches the Rfam family "Bacterial small subunit ribosomal RNA", at positions 28 to 507 of the family's 1533-position model. The record is from RNAcentral.
GACGAACGCUGGCGGCGUGCUUAACACAUGCAAGUCGAACGGAAAGGCCCUGCUUUUGUGGGGUGCUCGAGUGGCGAACGGGUGAGUAACACGUGAGUAACCUGCCCUUGACUUUGGGAUAACUUCAGGAAACUGGGGCUAAUACCGGAUAGGAGCUCCUGCUGCAUGGUGGGGGUUGGAAAGUUUCGGCGGUUGGGGAUGGACUCGCGGCUUAUCAGCUUGUUGGUUGGGUAGUGGCUUACCAAGGCUUUGACGGGUAGCCGGCCUGAGAGGGUGACCGGCCACAUUGGGACUGAGAUGCGGCCCAGACUCCUACGGGAGGCAGCGGUGGGGAAUAUUGCACAAUGGGCGGAGGCCUGAUGCAGCAACGCCGCGUGGGGGAUGACGGCCAUCGGGUUGUAAACCACAUUCGCCUGUGACGAAGCGAGAGUGACGGUAAUGGGUGAAGAAGCACCGGCUAACUACGUG